Corvus hawaiiensis (hawaiian crow) is the source of this 4006-nucleotide long non-coding RNA. RefSeq lists it as uncharacterized. The record is from RefSeq and is a predicted model, not a curated record. Lineage: Eukaryota; Metazoa; Chordata; Aves; Passeriformes; Corvidae. The transcript has 4 exons.
CCGCCCGCGCGGGGGGACAUCCCCCGCCUCGCCUCCGCAUCCCGGCCUCCCAGCGCUGCUGGCCGCUCUGUUCCUCCCCGGGCACAGCGGUCAAGGCACAGGGUGGUGCCGGCAGCGCCAGGAACGCGGAGCUAAAGGCCACCCACCUCCCCAGGCACCCGGCUCGAAGGCACCGACUAACCCAGCCAUUUCCCCCGGCAUCCCCCUUCCCCAGGCACCACGGCUCAGUCCUGCUGCUUCUCAGCAUGUUGGUCAUUCACAGAAGCCCAAGGCUGGCGCCAAGCCCUCCCUGUCACGUUUCGUGAGCACAUCCCAAGGGAGAUUCUGGUCAUCCAUUGCUCGCAUUCCCUCGUGUCUGCAUACACACGUCGAAAAGUAGGAACAUUUGAAAGAAAGAAUAAAUCCAGGAACACAGGCAGAUAAACAGCACUGUUCAUUGCUAUGCAACAAAUCGCAAAGGUCAGCAGACCCUGACCCUGAAAAGCAGCUGUGUUAUAGCAGUUACUGGAAAACACCAGUCCUUGCACAUAAAAUUGCUUCAAGCAAGAACAUCUUUCCCAGAAAGACUGAGAUCUGCAUGCUGGAUCACGCUUGUCCUCUGAACAGCUAGAGGUGCCUGAGUAAGAAGACAGAUGUUGAGAGCUGGGAUGGUCCCUCUCACUGCCAUGAAGUUUGCCACUAUUCACGACUCUCUGUGCUCCAAGGGAGCGGUUCCCCAUCCUUCUUUUCCUUUGCAAAAGGUGAAAGAUAGUUCAUGGUCUGGCUGCUUGAAAUUAGGACACUAAAAACACACUACAGCUGGGGAAGAUGAAGAACUGGCCCAGAGGAGAGGUAUUAACCAUGCAUUUCCUAUCUUGCUGAAUGGGGGCUGAUGAGCUAAACUGCAGCAUUAAUGAUUCCUAAAUGUUAUGUAUUUUCUCCCUACUUCCUGCUGGAUGGGGACUGACACCACAGAGUUCCAGCUGGCUGGUCUUUUCUUCCCAGGAGAAUUCACCUCUUUGCCUAAGUAACUGAAUGAGAUGCAAAAGCAAGUACAGACGAGGAGAGAUGUGGGGCCUGCAUGUCCUCAGCAGAAAUGCUGUGUUCACUUCCCACUUGUUCUUCGCUGCUUUUCCAUUCUUUGCUCUCCUCCUUUCUGGGCACAGCUAUAGGGCCUGUAGCCCUUGAUGUCUGAACCAGAUUCUCCCACAAUCCUUGACAGCAGCAUUCCAGACUGGAUUAAGUAGGACUUCAGGCUGGCCUGAGCCAUGCAGAGCUGGCAGAAGAUGGAGCUGCAGAGGGGCACAACAAAGAGGCUCAGCUGCUCCCUGGUGGGGAUCUCCCAUGGCUCCCUCCAGCCGGGCCUGCACCCACAUCCAGCCACUCUGCCCACGGGCUUCUGCUGUUUGAGAAGAGCAGGACUUGUCUGGCAAGUGGGACAGAGAGACACCUGCCUGGACAGAAAGAGCAUGGAAAUGGGAGGACCAGGAGAGCUGGUGAGGCUCUGCUGGUUCCAGUGCCAGGUGGGAAGCUUUGCCUUCAGAGAUGGUGGCUUCUUUGAUGUCUCUUCACCCUUUGUGGACACAGCCUGCACCCCCAGCUGGAGGCACUGGAAAAGCUGGCAGCUGUCGUGAUCUUCUCUCCGCUGGGAACAGACUGAAACUGUUUUUCUUCAGGACUGUUUUAUGAGGAGCGGGAAGAGAGCACCCGGACAGAGCACUAAGGAUUAACUUUAAAAAUGUGUCUCCCUUUGACAAAAUGUUUGAGCUUUGCCAGUUCCUUUACGUUCUCUCUCACUGGCUGAGGACAGCCUUGUCCUGAAUAGGAAAACGGGAACAGUGCAAGAGCACAGAUGUCUGACAUCUUCCUGUCUUCUGGCUCAGAGAGACGGAGAUUAAUAAAAGCUGCCAGAGAAAUGCCUUGGAAUAACCCUUUCUGGUAGGAGACACAGUAUCCUGGAAACACCCAUCACUUGGCAGAGACACUAAUUUCAUUCCUUAGCUACACAAGCAAAUUUCUUUAAGUCUUCUCAAGAUCAUUUUUUUAGACUGGAUUGCAAAUGUUUUAUGUUAAAACAAAAACAAACAAAACACAACAAAAAAAACCCAACCACUUUGUUUCGUUCUGUUUUACAUAUGUGGCAUUUCCUAAAAGGAACAAAUUGUUGAAACAAUGAAAUAUUUUCCUUUUUUACAGCCCUAUCUUUCAUUAAGAGACAGUUUGCCUAACAUCUCUUCUUCCCUGUUAAGAUGAUGGAUGGGGCUGAACAAGACUUACUGGAUCCAGUGAGGUGCCAUUUGCGUCACCAGCCACAGUGGUCAUUGGGGAAUGAUCUGCCAUUUCAAUUGUUUCAAAGAGAGAUGAAGAGGAAAAUGGAGCAGGCUGAGAUUUAUUACAGUGGAUGGAACAGACUUUGAAGUUAGACAAGUGGAAAUUUGGAUUAUUUGCAGGAACAGAUCCUAUGUGAGGCUGUUGAGUUAGGCAGGGCCCUGAUUUUGGAGGAAACAUCACGAGUGUGCUCAGACAUGAAACCUCCAAGAAAGACAGUUGGAGGCUGCCUUAGCAAUCUAGAAAGUGGGGCAUCAGUGAUGAACCAGAGAAUGGAGUUCAUCCUCACUGCACUGCUCAAUAAGCUGGGCCCAGCUCUCCCCUGGAUGUCAUUCCAUUAUAGUUGCUGGAGGGACACUGGAAGGGACUUCAGAAUAACAGGUGAAACUUUGGUCUUCUACAAGUCAGCUUCCAUUUUGCUGCAGAAGGCUUUCCUUUGCACUCUUGAGACCACUAGAGAGGAGGAGAUGAACUCUAACAACUAAGAAAAGGCCAGCCAUCAGAUUUACUGCCUAAACAGUGAUCUCACCUGCAGAGAUUUUUACAUGGCCUCUAACACUUCCCAACUCCUAACGUGAAAGCCCUGAACUACCUGCACUGUCACAUUCCCAUCCUCUCCCAGGGAAAUCAACUGGAUGGAAAGUGACAAGUAUACACAAGUCCUGUGAACUCUUAGGAACACUUCUGAAAGCUGAGCUAAGGAGAAUGAGAGACAAAAUGUCCAUGUUACUGGAAGUGGUAAGUGCCCUAGAAAGCCUUCCCAAAAUUCUUGAGACACACACCAGUGACUCUUUCACUGCUCGGCCUCACUGAAACUGCGAAUUUGUCAGUGGUUUAAUGUUCCCUCCAUGCCUUUUUCUCACCUCCAGUCCAUCAAGCUGAUGGACAGUUCUGCUCAUGGAGAAACCUGUAAUAAUUCCAUGGAAGCGAAAAGACUGAAUCUUAGAGGAGUGAAAUCAGACCAUGAGGAUUUAGUAGCAAAUUUUACAGGGACAGAGAGAAUCGGGGUUGGGGCUGUUCUAAAAGAAACCGUUUGACCAAACACUUUCUAAGUUCUUUCCUCCUCCUUCCUUUCUGAACACAGUUAUUUGUCCCAGUAGUUAGAUUCACACUCUUUCAUGUCCAAACUAAUUUCUUUCACAUGAUUAAUCAGCAGCUGGAGGCAGGUGAUGUCAUGGACUUUGACAUUAGAUUGUCAUCAAAUAUUACAUUUCUCUCUUUUUUAACUAAACAGCUGCAGUGAUGGCUUUGCUGGCUGGUGGCCAGCUGAGUCUCUCCACAGAAAUGUAACACUCCUUGACUCUGUUUUCCCAUAUUCCCAACUUGUUUGCUCUGUGAUGGAAAACUUUACUUCCUUGGCGAGACACUUAGUAGCACCUACAGUUGCAAUGCAUCCAAGAAAAAUAUACUGCAAGGACCAGGGGAGUCCUUACAGGCCUGACAAAAGAGGGAUUCAUCCCUUUUCCUUUAGAGGGAAAGUAGUGCUGGGGCAGCUUCCAUGUCCUAAGGUAAUUGAACAAAUAGAUUUUCAUUUUAGAUGGAAGAUGGAUGGAAGGAGUUUGGAGUCCCUCAGAUGCAGGCUGUCAAUAUGAACACACAUUUCAAUUGCAUUUACAUGAAAACAAAAUGUGUCUCAGCUUCCAGACAUCCAGAAAAAGGAUGAUGAUCCUUGCAGGAAGAGUGCAGGACAAUUUUCUGU